This is a long non-coding RNA of Sus scrofa (pig), 2347 nucleotides long. RefSeq lists it as uncharacterized. The record is from RefSeq and is a predicted model, not a curated record. Lineage: Eukaryota; Metazoa; Chordata; Mammalia; Artiodactyla; Suidae.
GGAUAAGGGGGGGCCCCUCACAUGGGGCCCGAGCUCGGAGGCGGCCAGGCGGCGCGGAGUCCUCCCGGAUCGUGGCACUGGGCAGCCACAGAGCAGAAAGUGGCGGACUUGGGCGGCCACAGGGCAUCACAGCCACAGCAACGCAGGAUCCGAGCCUCGCCUUCAACCUAUACCACAGCUCAUGGACAACGCGGGAUCCUCAACCCACUGAGCAAGGCCGGGGAAUCAAACCAGCAACCUCAUGGUUCCUAGGCGGAUUCGUUUCCACUGCACCACAGUGGGAACUCUGUACUCUUAUUUUCUAGUAUUCAGUAUUGUCAUUGAGAAUUCUAAUGCCAUCCUGAUUCCCAUUCCUUUGUGAACUGGAAUUUACCCUUCUAGAAACUUAUAAUCUCUUUUAUCUCUAAUAUUCUGAAAUUUCAUAAUUUUGUGCCUUAAUUUGGAGGCUUUCAUGAAAUGUUUGCAAACAUUUGACUCUCCCUUCAUAUUCAAGAAUGAGGUCAUAAAACCCCACUGAAAACUACACAUGGGGGGCGGGGGAGUGUGCUUGCUCAUUGGUGAGUUUGCUAUGUGGUGAUCAGGGAAAAAGUUCAUCUUUCCCUAAGGAGAUCCCCCAAAUGUCAGAAACUAGAAGUCUUGGAGUUCCCUUUGUGGCUCAGGGGAAACAAACCCAAUUAGUAUCCAUGAGGAUACAUGUUCAAUCCCUGGCCUUGCUCAGUGGGUUACGGAUCUCAUGUUGCCAUGGCUGCGGCGUAGACAGGCAGCUGUAGCUCUGAUUCAACCCCUAGCCUGGGAACUUCCAUAUCCCAUGAGUGCAGCCCUAAAAAACAAACAAACAAAAACUAGAAGUCUUUUCUUCUGGGCUCUUCAGCUUCUCAAGAGAAAUAUCUGCAGCCUCUUGCCUGAGGGGACCUUCACCUGGCAGCCAGUACUCUGGAAACAGUUCAGGGGAAGGGGUCCAGACUGCUUAGUAUGCAGAGUGUCUCAUUCUUUUCUUUCCUGUAGGUGCCUCAUUCCCGUCCUUUUUGCUGCCUAAUGCACAAGCCUCUCUGCUGUUUCUCCUGCUGCCGUUGUAGUCACUUGACUGUGAGAAGUGGGACAGGGGACCUGGGGAACUAACAACUCCAAACACAUUCGCUCAGCUCCCAACCUCUCCCUCACUGCUGGGAUCCUGAGGCCUCUCAUCAUAAUCUGUCUCUCUCUCUCAUGACCUCUGGCAUCUCCAGGAUCCAAGCCAAUCUGGGGUUUUAUAGAAUAAUCGCUUGUCCUGCCCUCUAGAAUGACAGGAGAGGAUAGCUUCUGCUGUUCUGUUUUACCAUUCUCUGUUCUUCCACCCAUCCCAUCUUCCAGAAUUGUGUUGAAAUACAUCUUUUGCAGAUGAUCCCUCCUCUCUUCUCUUUGCCCCUAUGGAUUCAUCCUUUUAUGUUCCUGUACUGUCCUUUUCAGGAGACAAGGAAGAUACACAACUGUGGGUCGAUUUGCCAUCUUUAUUUUUUCCCCUUUUUUUAGGUCUUUAUUUCUUUCAAAUUAUAGUUGAUUUACAUUGUUCUAUCAAUGUAUGCUAUACAGUCAAGUGACCCAAUCAUAUAUAUAUACACACAUUUUUUUUUCACAUUAUCCUCCAUCAUGUUCCAUCACCAGUGACUAGACAUAGUUCCCUGUGCUAUACAGCAGGAUAAUUUGCUGUUUUUAAUCUGAAGCUAUUUCUAAAAUUAUCCAAAAGGCUUUACCACGCUGUCCCAGAUUUGUUUAUGCAAACAAAACCAGAAUUUAUGGGCAAACUUUUAAUUUCUUUGGUCCGUGGUGGCCAAGAAUCCUUUGUUCCUCCCUGACACCUAACGACUCAGCUUUGAUUAUUUCGCUUAGUAUCCCCCGAUUGGCUGCCUACUUCUGUGUUGAUUGGUUAGAUUAGACCACCCAAAGUGUGGUCCCUGGUUGGACCAUCAACAUCAGAUCACCUGGGAGCUUGUGAGAAAGGUAAAUUCACCAACUUAGCCCAGGCCUCAAGAAACUCCAGCCUGUGGGUCUAACAAGCCCUUCAGGUGGUUCUGAUCCUGUUAGAGUUUGAAACACAGUGACCUGGGGAGUUCCUGGUGUGGCUCUGCAAGUUAAGAACCUGAGUAGUAUCCAGAAGGAUGUCGGUUCAAUCCCUGGCCUUGCUCAGUGGGUCAAAGAUCUGGUGAUCUGACCCCUAGCCUGGGAACUUUCGUGUGGCCCUGAAAAGAAAGAAACACCUGAACUAUUUCAUUCCCAACCUACUGAUUAUUUAUAUAAUUGUUGACCAUUGUCUUCAAUUGGAGCAGUUAGUGCAUCCAAAAAAAAAAAAAAAAAAAUUAGGCUGGCAUCU